This 460-nucleotide ribosomal RNA is filed under the name uncultured bacterium. RNAcentral describes it as "partial 16S ribosomal RNA". It matches the Rfam family "Bacterial small subunit ribosomal RNA", at positions 338 to 795 of the family's 1533-position model. The record is from RNAcentral.
CCUACGGGUGGCAGCAGUGAGGAAUAUUGGUCAAUGGUCGGGAGACUGAACCAGCCAAGCCGCGUGAGGGAGGAAGGUACAGAGUAUCGUAAACCUCUUUUGUCAGGGAACAAAGGCGGGGACGUGUCCCCGGAUGAGUGUACCUGAAGAAACAGCAUCGGCUAACUCCGUGCCAGCAGCCGCGGUAAUACAGAGGAUGCGAGCGUUAUCCGGUUUUAUUGGGUUUAAAGGGUGCGCAGGCGGUUUGGUAAGUCAGCGGUGAAAGCCCGGGGCCCAACCCGCGCCGCGCCGUUGAAACGGGCAGUCUCGAGUGGGAGAGAGGUAUGCGGAAUGCGCGGUGUAGCGGUGAAAUGCAUAGAUAUCGCGCAGAACUCCGAUGGCGAAGGCAGCAUGCCGGCUCCACACUGACGCUGAGGCACGAAAGCGUGGGUAGCGAACAGGAUUAGAUACCCUAGUAGUC